UACGAAGGGGGCUAGCGUUGCUCGGAAUCACUGGGCGUAAAGGGUGCGUAGGCGGGUCUUUAAGUCAGGGGUGAAAUCCUGGAGCUCAACUCCAGAACUGCCUUUGAUACUGAGGAUCUUGAGUUCGGGAGAGGUGAGUGGAACUGCGAGUGUAGAGGUGAAAUUCGUAGAUAUUCGCAAGAACACCAGUGGCGAAGGCGAGUCUCUGGACGACACCUGACACUGAGGCACGAAAGCUAGGGGAGCAAUCCGG
Molecule: ribosomal RNA, 253 nt
Filed under: uncultured bacterium
Lineage: Bacteria
Description: partial 16S ribosomal RNA
Rfam family: Bacterial small subunit ribosomal RNA
Source: RNAcentral